Camelina sativa (false flax) is the source of this 229-nucleotide non-coding RNA. NCBI's taxonomy places the organism in Eukaryota, Viridiplantae, Streptophyta, Magnoliopsida, Brassicales, Brassicaceae. The record is from RefSeq and is a predicted model, not a curated record.
CUCUUUCCCUCUCCUCACUAUCUUCUCUUUUGCUAUCUUUCGUUAUUAUAGUGUUCUUCUUUGUUUCUGAGAAAACAUGUCUUAUUAGUAGUAUUUUUUGUUCCUUGAGGGAAAAAAUUAGCUAGUGCGCGUGUGUGUGUGUUGGAUUGUGAUAUCAAAAGAGUUUUCAAACUUAAAAAGUGUUGUGAUGAGAUAUUAGCAGUUCCUCUAGCCCAGAGAGAUCUGAGAG